This 163-nucleotide non-coding RNA is filed under the name Paenibacillus macerans. Its description in RNAcentral is "Bacterial small subunit ribosomal RNA". It matches the Rfam family "Bacterial small subunit ribosomal RNA", at positions 578 to 741 of the family's 1533-position model. The record is from Rfam by way of RNAcentral. Lineage: Bacteria; Bacillati; Bacillota; Bacilli; Caryophanales; Paenibacillaceae.
GCUGUUUAAGUCUGGUGUAUAAUCCUGGGGCUCAACUCCGGGUCGCACUGGAAACUGGAUGGCUUGAGUGCAGAAGAGGAGAGUGGAAUUCCACGUGUAGCGGUGAAAUGCGUAGAGAUGUGGAGGAACACCAGUGGCGAAGGCGACUCUCUGGGCUGUAACU